UCCAUUUCUGCUACUGAGGAUGGACACAAAGAAUGCAAAGUUGAUUAGAUUCAUUUUUGCGGCUCAGUGAUCCUAAAGCUUUUCUAAAAUAUGGAUUUCCUGAACUAUAGUGUCUGCCUCUUGCAUGUGAAUAAAAUCUUCUCUAAACUAUCACUAGGUAAAAAAACAAACAAACAAACAACAACAACAACAACAACAACAACAACAACAACAACAACAACAACAACAACAACAACUACCAUAGCAAGUGCAACAACAACAACAACAACAACAACAAAACAACCACACAAAACAAACAAAAAAACAAUUCCAAACAAACACAGACAAGUAAAAUAUGCAAACAAACAACACAAAACUAAUAAACCAAGCCACUACUUUAAUGCCACUGGAAUAUUUGGACAACUACUACAUAGAAAAACAAGAAAUACACUGCUCAUACUCCAAGGCCCAAACUUCAAUGUUCCAAAUGCGUUCACCUUCUCCUUCCAAGUCACACA
Molecule: long non-coding RNA, 497 nt
Filed under: Gallus gallus (chicken)
Lineage: Eukaryota; Metazoa; Chordata; Aves; Galliformes; Phasianidae
Description: lncRNA (ENSGALG00010010644.1)
Source: RNAcentral